This is a long non-coding RNA of Carassius gibelio (silver crucian carp), 1285 nucleotides long. RefSeq lists it as uncharacterized. NCBI's taxonomy places the organism in Eukaryota, Metazoa, Chordata, Actinopteri, Cypriniformes, Cyprinidae. The record is from RefSeq and is a predicted model, not a curated record. The transcript is spliced from 4 exons.
GUCAAUAUGGUGUCACAUUACGAGUUUUUGAGCCGGAUUCUUUUUAGACAGUGCUCCAAGGAAAUCCUUAAGUUCAGCAGGUGGUUAAUGAAAGAAGGCCUGAUUUAAAAAUCAAUGAAAUGUCCCUGCUCUCAUCUUAUGAGGUUGAAACUACGAAAUGGCAAAAAUGAGCCAAUAUGGAUAUGCAGAGAUUCAUGUCACAAAGGAAAAUCCUUUGCAAAGUCCAUCCGACAUGGCUCCAUGUUUGAGAAGUCUCAUAUUUCACUUCAAAUGUGGAUGCAUUUCAUUUAUAGAUUUGCCCAAGGUCUUCGACUGCGACAAGUGGAAAUGCUACAGGAGGGGAUUAUUUGGAGCUCUGCAACUCUGAGUAAAUUGGCAGACAAGCUGAGAAGAGUUUGAAAUCUGCAAUGAAAAGAAUGAGAAAAAGAGGCAAGCAGACGAUUGGAAGAAGAAGAGAAAUUCUUCUGAUAGAUGAAAGCAAAUUUGGCCAUAAAAGAAAUUACAACAGAGGACGAGCAAACAACAGAAGCACCUGGGUAUUCGGAAUGCUAGGCAUCAAGGUUGAGCGGAGGAGACCUAUUUUUAAAAUUGUGCAUUGUCGUUCAGCCAGAAAUCUCAUGCCACCCAUAAAGAAGCACAUUAGCCAGGGAAGCUCAGUCAUUUCAGAUGGAUGGAGGUCUUACAGAAAUCUUCAAAAUGAAGGUUAUGACCACAGGAUCGUCAACCAUAAAGAACAUUUUGUUGACCCUUUUACAGGUGCACAUACACAGAAUCUGGAGAGACUUUGGGGUGUUUGUAAGUCAACUAUUUGGAGACUAAGAGGAAACCGCACACAAAAUAUGUUGAAAGACCAUUUGGAAUUGAGUGGAGUGAUUGUGGCGUGGGAACAAUCACAGAAAUGGACCACUUGGAAUGCUUUUGCAUGACAUCAAGAAAAAAUAUACAAUGCCUACAUGAAAUGUACUUGCAUAUACUGUAGAUAGAUAAACAAGUUUUAUUUAUUUUCAGUUAAAGACUAAGACCCUGAAAAAAAAGACUUCUUCCGCUGAUGAAAUAUUCAGAUGGUCGUUUUCAACUUUCAGUUUAUGUAUGUUAUGUUGGAAGUACUGUAUGAAAACUUGGAAAUAUGUAUGUAAUUAAGAACAUGAAGUUCAUAAUAGCCUGUGUUUUUUAUAUUUAGAGUGCUAAAUAGAAGUGUAAUUACAUUUGUUUACAGCAGCACAUUUGUUCUUGGCCAUAAAAAGUUAUAAUAGGUUUGUUAAUCUCAGAAGUUGUCUUAGAUUAA